CUUCGGAGAAGCUCAUUUGGUUGAGUGCCGAAGGGGCAAGGUGAAAACCGAAACUCUCAGGCAAAAGGACGAAGA
This 75-nucleotide non-coding RNA is filed under the name human gut metagenome. Its description in RNAcentral is "Glycine riboswitch". It matches the Rfam family "Glycine riboswitch aptamer", at positions 9 to 86 of the family's 94-position model. Rfam says of the family: This family represents the bacterial glycine riboswitch. Glycine riboswitches usually consist of two metabolite-binding aptamers domains with similar structures in tandem. The record is from RNAcentral.